Molecule: non-coding RNA, 113 nt
Organism: Oryza glaberrima (African rice)
Lineage: Eukaryota; Viridiplantae; Streptophyta; Magnoliopsida; Poales; Poaceae
Source: Rfam
GGUGGCUGUGACGACUAGGUAAAAUUCAAGCUCAACAGACCAAAUCACAGGUCUCUCUCCAAGGCCUUUGGAGAUGGGAUCUGUAUGCCGAGUUUCCGCUCAGCCGAGCCAUC